GGAUCCUAUUGAGUAGACAGUGUUACUGCCACAGAGGGAAACCAACCCCGACCUUGGAGAAAGCAGGAACUUAAACCCACUUCAGAGAGCACCUUGCUCCUUCCAGAACUGCAAAUGUGUCGGUGAAAACUGACUGAGCUGGCCAGCGAGUGUGCCAGAGAGCUGCACUGGAUUCCGCUUACUAGUGUGAUGAGGCUACCAGGCUUAGCUCCUCCAUCCCAGAGAGGUCUCUUGGAGAUAGCAGUGGUGAACAGAAAUGCUGAUUUUGUGCUAGACUGGCUCCACACACACACAGCUGAGCGCACAGAACCAGGUUCCCCUGUUUAACAGCACUGGACGCACGGGCCAUGAAAACAGGCUGAGAUUUCUGCCAAGUGAAUAUUUAUGUCCAACUUUGAAAGAUGGGGCGUAUAAUGGAAGUGUUGAAAUACUCUCAAGCAAUCCGGAGCUGUUUGAUGACAUACCCUACAAGGUUUGCGGCAAGGACUUGAAGAGGUUUUCUGUUCACCCCAGAGUGGUCAGUACUGGCUCCUGGCAUGUUGGCAUCUCCAGCUGAGUCAACGAAAGCCACCUCUGCCCCACAGGCUGGCAUCACCGCACAGCUGAACCAGGA
This is a long non-coding RNA of Grus americana (Whooping crane), 613 nucleotides long. RefSeq lists it as uncharacterized. NCBI's taxonomy places the organism in Eukaryota, Metazoa, Chordata, Aves, Gruiformes, Gruidae. The transcript is spliced from 5 exons. The record is from RefSeq and is a predicted model, not a curated record.